CCUACGGGGGGCUGCAGUGAGGAAUAUUGGUCAAUGGACGAGAGUCUGAACCAGCCAAGUAGCGUGAAGGAUGACUGCCCUAUGGGUUGUAAACUUCUUUUAUAUGGGAAUAAAACGUUCCACGUGUGGGAUUUUGUAUGUACCAUAUGAAUAACGAUCGGCUAACUCCGUGCCAGCAGCCGCGGUAAUACGGAGGAUCCGAGUGUUAUCCGGAUUUAUUGGGUUUAAAGGGAGCGUAGGUGGAUUGUUAAGUCAGUUGUGAAAGUUUGCGGCUCAACCGUAAAAUUGCAGUUGAAACUGGCAGUCUUGAGUACAGUAGAGGUGGGCGGAAUUCGUGGUGUAGCGGUGAAAUGCUUAGAUAUCACGAAGAACUCCGAUUGCGAAGGCAGUUCACUGGACUGCAACUGACACUGAGGCUCGAAAGUGUGGGUAUCAAACAGGAUUAGAUACCCCAGUAGUC
Molecule: ribosomal RNA, 460 nt
Filed under: uncultured bacterium
Lineage: Bacteria
Description: partial 16S ribosomal RNA
Rfam family: Bacterial small subunit ribosomal RNA
Source: RNAcentral